AGGGGUGCAGCUCAGUUAUAGAGCUCCUGCUUUGUAUGCAAGAUACCCUAGGUUCAAACCCAGCAACCCCU
Molecule: transfer RNA, 71 nt
Filed under: Ictidomys tridecemlineatus (thirteen-lined ground squirrel)
Lineage: Eukaryota; Metazoa; Chordata; Mammalia; Rodentia; Sciuridae
Description: Spermophilus tridecemlineatus (thirteen-lined ground squirrel) tRNA
Rfam family: tRNA
About the family: Transfer RNA (tRNA) molecules are approximately 80 nucleotides in length. Their secondary structure includes four short double-helical elements and three loops (D, anti-codon, and T loops).
Source: Rfam by way of RNAcentral